UGAGUAACCUGCCCUUAACUCUGGUAUAAGCCUGGGAAACUGGGUCUAAUACCGGAUAUGACUCCUCAUCGCAUGGGUGGGGGGUGGAAAGCUUUUUGUGGUUUUGGAUGGACUCGCGGCCUAUCAGCUUGUUGGUGGGGUAAUGGCUCACCAAGGCGACGACGGGUAGCCGGCCUGAGAGGGUGACCGGCCACACUGGGACUGAGACACGGCCCAGACUCCUACGGGAGGCAG
This 234-nucleotide ribosomal RNA is filed under the name uncultured bacterium. RNAcentral's name for it is "partial 16S ribosomal RNA". It matches the Rfam family "Bacterial small subunit ribosomal RNA", at positions 118 to 351 of the family's 1533-position model. The record is from RNAcentral.